UACGAAGGAGGCAAGCGUUAUCCGGAAUUAUUGGGCGUAAAGCGUCCGCAGGUGGCACUUCAAGUCUGUCGUCAAAGACUGGGGCUUAACCCCGGAAAGGCGGUGGAAACUGAAGCGCUAGAGUGCGGUAGGGGUAGAGGGAAUUCCCGGUGUAGCGGUGAAAUGCGUAGAGAUCGGGAAGAACAUCGGUGGCGAAAGCGCUCUACUGGACCGCAACUGACACUCAGGGACGAAAGCUAGGGGAGCGAAUGGG
Molecule: ribosomal RNA, 253 nt
Filed under: uncultured bacterium
Lineage: Bacteria
Description: partial 16S ribosomal RNA
Rfam family: Bacterial small subunit ribosomal RNA
Source: RNAcentral